AUGAUACUAGUAUAUUCAGUAUAUCUAUCUUCCAAAUAGAAGGACUAUAAAUUAGGUACCAUA
RNAcentral lists this transfer RNA (63 nucleotides) under Barbronia yunnanensis. Its description in RNAcentral is "tRNA-Gly". The record is from RNAcentral. Lineage: Eukaryota; Metazoa; Annelida; Clitellata; Hirudinida; Salifidae.